GGGAAGCUCGUGGCCGGGACCCCGAGGCGGGAGCGCGGGCUGGGCCGGGCUGGGCUACGCGCACGGGCUCGGCCGCCGCCCCUGCCGAAAACAGCCUUCCACAGAAGUCAGACGCUGGGCUACAGGAACGGCUAUGCAAUUGUUCGACGUCCAACAGUUGGGAUAGGCGGAGACCGGCUCCAGUUCAACCAGCUGUCCCAGGCUGAGCUGGAUGAGUUGGCCAGUAAGGCACCAGUCUUAACUUAUGGCCAACCUAAACAAGCCCCACCUGCGGAUUUUAUUCCUGCGCAUGUGGCCUUUGACAAAAAGCUAUUGUAAAAGGGGUUGAGUUAUUGAUUUGAUUCUCAGCUUGGUCGCUGUUGGUGUAAAGAAGAGCUACUGAUAUGUGUAUAUUAAUUUUGUAUCCCGAAACUUCGCUGAAUUCUUUUAUCAGUUCUAGGAGCUUUCUGGAGGAGUCUUUAGGAUUUUCCAGGUACUGAAAUUUGAUGCCUAUUUC
Molecule: small RNA, 496 nt
Filed under: Pan troglodytes (chimpanzee)
Lineage: Eukaryota; Metazoa; Chordata; Mammalia; Primates; Hominidae
Description: processed transcript
Source: RNAcentral